This 733-nucleotide long non-coding RNA is filed under the name Homo sapiens (human). Its description in RNAcentral is "non-protein coding lnc-GPT2-1:8". Lineage: Eukaryota; Metazoa; Chordata; Mammalia; Primates; Hominidae. The record is from RNAcentral.
ACUGGGGUCGAAGUAUUGAAGAGUGGGCCAGGUUCUCUGUUUUCCUCCAGGUCCAGGCGGCUGGGCAGGGCCAACGUAGGAAAUGAAGAACUGUGCACGGCGCACCCCAGGAAUUCAGCUUCCUCUCAAAAGCCAUGGUUGCGAGGUCGCGUGUUUAACCUCGCACUGGCUGCUGAGGGAAUUAACAGGCCUGCGCAGCAGCUUCGUUAGCUUCGAAAGAAAAUGGGCCCCGGCUCCCGCAGGAGGCCCGCCUGGCGCGCAGAUGUCGUUAUUAGAAUCCGGGACGUCGGUGGACCCUCUGGGUCUGGCUCCCUCGGGGCUUACGAUGAAAAAAACUGGGGGGCGCGUGUGUGUGUCAUGAGACUUCCAUUUCUGAAGGGGUCCUGUUCCAUAUCCUCAAGAAGGGAGUGCUGCACAGAGAGGCCAUGAGGAAUCUAAGCAGACAGGCCUUGCUGGGUUUCCCCACUCAGUCUGUUAAUAUUAGAUCAUACCUUUUUGUCCAGUCACAUUUUUACAUGGUUGUCAAUUAUGCCUGUCCAGUAAAGUCUCCAUAAAAGGCCCAAGAAGACAGAGUUGGAGUUCCUGGAUAGCUGAACAUGUGGAGGUUCCUGGAGGGUGGGGCACCUGGGCAUAAAAGCUCUGAGCCCCUUCCCUCAUACCUUGCUCUGUGCAUCCCUCCAUCUGUAUCCUUUGUAACAUUCCUUAUAAUAAAUUGGUAAAUGUGUUUCCCAGA